Mus caroli (Ryukyu mouse) is the source of this 1109-nucleotide non-coding RNA. The record is from RefSeq and is a predicted model, not a curated record. Lineage: Eukaryota; Metazoa; Chordata; Mammalia; Rodentia; Muridae.
GCAGUGAGGAUCCUGCGGGCGGGUGACCGGCGCGGGGUGGUGUGGAAAUGGCCGAAAGGCCUUUGAGGACCUUUGCUGGGCCGGGAGGCGCGGCUCUCGCGAGAACGUGCCAAAGCCGUGGCUACUGUCCCCUGAAGGGGCGCGGGCGGGCAGGGCGCCAGCAGAGACCCAGGGCGGGCUCUGCGGACGCNAGCUGCCAGCCAGAGUGUCGCUCCCAGACCCUGCCACCCACUCUCUGGUGGAUGACUUGCAGGUCUUUAUGGGAACUUCGUCCCAGGUCANCUGUAAUUUUAAAAUAGACAACCAAUAUCCUGAGUUCUCUGAUGGCUCCCAUGGGGCUCCCUUUGUCCAACAGUUCAAUUAGCUAUAACCUAUUCCUGGCACUAGAGGGUCCACUUGAAGAUUUCCACCAAAUGACGACCCUCUGUUCUCCUAAAUCAUCUGUCACCUUAGACCAGGCAGAUUGGGACUUUCAGUCCCUGCGUAGGCAAAGAUCUGUGCCUCUACUAACCCCAAAGAAGUUGUAGGUGCCAAAUCUUCAGCUUCCAUAAAGUCUUUAAAUUGUGUGCUCACAGUCUCGGAGGAGAAAAUACCAACAGUGUAAAAGACAGGGAAGGCACAGAGACACGGGGAAGGGAAGGAGCCCUUUAAUCCAGAGUAUGCUCGAAGCCUUUUGAAGUAAAAUAAGGUAGAAAAUGUAAUCAUUAGAUANCUAUUUGCUGACUUAUUUAGUGAUUUACUUAAAGCACUGUUUGCACUGCCAUUUGCCAAGCAUGGCUUCCCUCGCUACCUGAGAGAAAUAGAUGAAACAAGGGGCCAUUGCCCUUAACAACCUUGGGAUUGCCACAGACGCUGCUGUAAAACCUCCCUUGAUUGCUCGCUCCACAUUGGUUUUAAUGAAUAGAACAAGAAUGAAAACUGCACCCUACUGAAGCUGUCCUGGCUUCAGCCCACCAAUGACAUCUCCUCCCUUCCACUCUCCUUGGUGUNGGAGUGCUUACUCCAGAACAAUUCCCACAACACUUUCACCAGCUAGUGACAAAAACCACAACCUAAUUAGCAGCAUCUGCUUACUGCUAUCCUCCCUUGCCGGUCGCAAACCUCCAUCG